This 27-nucleotide small RNA is filed under the name Bombyx mori (domestic silkworm). RNAcentral describes it as "ovarian small RNA-23758". Lineage: Eukaryota; Metazoa; Arthropoda; Insecta; Lepidoptera; Bombycidae. The record is from RNAcentral.
UAUCUCAAAUAAAACAGGUGUCAGAGC